This 1521-nucleotide ribosomal RNA is filed under the name metagenome. RNAcentral describes it as "bacterial SSU rRNA". It matches the Rfam family "Bacterial small subunit ribosomal RNA". The record is from RNAcentral.
GAGUUUGAUCAUGGCUCAGAUUGAACGCUGGCGGCAGGCCUAACACAUGCAAGUCGAACGGUAACAGGAAACAGCUUGCUGUUUCGCUGACGAGUGGCGGACGGGUGAGUAAUGUCUGGGAAACUGCCUGAUGGAGGGGGAUAACUACUGGAAACGGUAGCUAAUACCGCAUAACGUCGCAAGACCAAAGAGGGGGACCUUCGGGCCUCUUGCCAUCAGAUGUGCCCAGAUGGGAUUAGCUAGUAGGUGGGGUAACGGCUCACCUAGGCGACGAUCCCUAGCUGGUCUGAGAGGAUGACCAGCCACACUGGAACUGAGACACGGUCCAGACUCCUACGGGAGGCAGCAGUGGGGAAUAUUGCACAAUGGGCGCAAGCCUGAUGCAGCCAUGCCGCGUGUAUGAAGAAGGCCUUCGGGUUGUAAAGUACUUUCAGCGGGGAGGAAGGGAGUAAAGUAAAUACCUUUGCUCAUUGACGUUACCCGCAGAAGAAGCACCGGCUAACUCCGUGCCAGCAGCCGCGGUAAUACGGAGGGUGCAAGCGUUAAUCGGAAUUACUGGGCGUAAAGCGCACGCAGGCGGUUUGUUAAGUCAGAUGUGAAAUCCCCGGGCUCAACCUGGGAACUGCAUCUGAUACUGGCAAGCUUGAGUCUCGUAGAGGGGGGUAGAAUUCCAGGUGUAGCGGUGAAAUGCGUAGAGAUCUGGAGGAAUACCGGUGGCGAAGGCGGCCCCCUGGACGAAGACUGACGCUCAGGUGCGAAAGCGUGGGGAGCAAACAGGAUUAGAUACCCUGGUAGUCCACGCCGUAAACGAUGUCGACUUGGAGGUUGUGCCCUUGAGGCGUGGCUUCCGGAGCUAACGCGUUAAGUCGACCGCCUGGGGAGUACGGCCGCAAGGUUAAAACUCAAAUGAAUUGACGGGGGCCCGCACAAGCGGUGGAGCAUGUGGUUUAAUUCGAUGCAACGCGAAGAACCUUACCUGGUCUUGACAUCCACGGAAGUUUUCAGAGAUGAGAAUGUGCCUUCGGGAACCGUGAGACAGGUGCUGCAUGGCUGUCGUCAGCUCGUGUUGUGAAAUGUUGGGUUAAGUCCCGCAACGAGCGCAACCCUUAUCCUUUGUUGCCAGCGGUCCGGCCGGGAACUCAAAGGAGACUGCCAGUGAUAAACUGGAGGAAGGUGGGGAUGACGUCAAGUCAUCAUGGCCCUUACGACCAGGGCUACACACGUGCUACAAUGGCGCAUACAAAGAGAAGCGACCUCGCGAGAGCAAGCGGACCUCAUAAAGUGCGUCGUAGUCCGGAUUGGAGUCUGCAACUCGACUCCAUGAAGUCGGAAUCGCUAGUAAUCGUGGAUCAGAAUGCCACGGUGAAUACGUUCCCGGGCCUUGUACACACCGCCCGUCACACCAUGGGAGUGGGUUGCAAAAGAAGUAGGUAGCUUAACCUUCGGGAGGGCGCUUACCACUUUGUGAUUCAUGACUGGGGUGAAGUCGUAACAAGGUAACCGUAGGGGAUCCUGCGGUUG